Toxorhynchites rutilus septentrionalis is the source of this 2544-nucleotide long non-coding RNA. RefSeq lists it as uncharacterized. The record is from RefSeq and is a predicted model, not a curated record. NCBI's taxonomy places the organism in Eukaryota, Metazoa, Arthropoda, Insecta, Diptera, Culicidae. The transcript is spliced from 3 exons.
UAUGACCAAGUUAUUCGGGUUACUUCAUAACAGCACGAUUGAUCCAAUGUGACAACAAAUCGAUGAUAUGUGAAUGGAAUCCGCCGGAUGAUAAAGGUAGUCGCGUGAAAUUCAUGUCAGCUUGCGUGUGUAACUGCAUGCGACAUUUAUUAUAUCAAAAUUGAAACAGGCAAGUCGGAGCACUAGAGCACUGUCACAUUCACCCUUGAACGAAAGCUCCAGCCGUUCGGAACCAUUCGGCAGCGGUUUUCUCGAAUGUCAACCUGAAGGAAGUAAAUCAUAUGUGCUCACUUAAUGCCGGAACGUAUCAGGACAGUUCGGCUCUUGGAACCGAAUAUUCAGUUAUGCUUGGUACAAUUAAUGAAAUUCAAAAGCUGCACAUUCGAACGGUACAAAUAGGAACAGGAAGCUUCUCAAUAGUUUGGUGUUAUAACGGUGCGAAUGGAUCUUCAGGACUCGAGUGGUCUGACUCCUUCGAGCAGUGCCGAGUUUGGUCAAGAAGUUAAAAUUCACAAUCUACUUUUUUUUUAUCUCAUUUAUUUAUUUAUUAGGCUCAUUAGCAUUAUAGCUGAACAGAGCCAGGUUUUAAUCGUGUACAUGUACAUAUGUUUAUGUUUCUAUAAAUUGUAAAUUACACAGUAGUUAGUAGUAGCCAUUUAGGCGUUAAGUAUUCUGUUCCAUUACAUUAUGGUAAAUCACACAGUAGUAACCAUUUAGGCGUAAGGGUUUCUGUUCUUCCAUUGUUCAGCAGACCGGACAGCGGAGACAGUUGAUAUUGAUCAUUGUUGAGUUAUUUAUAGAACAGCAGCCCGAUGUGUCUUGCAGAGCAGAGCAUUGUAUGGAUGAAUCGAUCUCAUUUCGACCGUGGAUCGAUUUCCAUCGCUGAUGAUGGUUGCGUGGACGUAGUUAUUCUAUAACAACACAAAGAUGGUCAAUUGAGGGCCCUGAGUUUGAACUCACGAUCGAUCGCUUGGUAAGCGAACGCGUAACCAAGUGGCUACGAAGACCCCCUACACACACACACAAUCUACUUAUCAGAAUCAGAAUACGUUCGAGUUGCUACAUGCACAUCAAUUCAUGCAAACGGAGUAUACUAUGUCACUGAUUCCGGCGAAAUUGGGCAACGACUCGAAAACUUAUUGCAUCGUCGGCACAGCACUGAUACAUCAAGCGGAACCGGAACCCAAAAUAGGAAGGAUUAUCAUCUAUCACUACGAGGAUGGAGCCCUAACUCAAGUUAGCGAGAAGGGAAUCAAGGGCGCGUGCUAUUCUCUCAUUGAGUUUAACGGCCGUGUAUUGGCCAGCAUCAAUUCAACUGUACGAUUGUAUGAGUGGACUGAUGAUAAGGAUUUGCGACUUGAAUGUAACCAUUUCAAUAACGUGUUGACAUUAUAUUGUAAAACCAAGGGAGACUUCAUUUUGGUGGAUGAUUUGAUGCGAUCUGUUACGCUGGAGGUAAUUUUGAGGAGAUCGCUCGCGACUAUUAACCAAAUUGGAUGACAGCAGAGUGGAUAACAGAACAAUCUAUUUGUUUGCCUAAAAGAUGGAUAAGUAGGGUUUCCGUAGCUCUGUUUAUCAUACGAAUUUUUGUAUUUAUUUGAAGGGCCGCAACAACGGACGACGAACGACAGCAAAUGCCAGAGGUUGCUCAAUUCCAUCUCGUUAAUAUGAUGAAUAUAUUCCGCCACGGUUCGCUCGUGAUGGAAAACAUUGGUGAGCGUACGACGCCGACAACGGGCUGUUUGUUAUUUUGGUCAGCUAUCGGUCUGGUCACACAAAUAUCACCUGUUUAUGAAUUAUGAAUUUCUUCGAAAGUUACAAGAAAGUUUGAUUGACACUAUCAAAUCUGUUGGCAAGAUUGAUUAUUCGUAUUGGCAUAGUUAUCAUACCGAAAUGGAAACGGAACGUUGCGGGGAAUUUAUUGAUGGAGACUUUAUAGAAGGUUUUUUAGAUUUAAGUCGGGAAAAAUGUACGAUGUAUUGGGAUUGCAGAUCGACGUGGAUAGAACUAAGAAGGGGUGGCCGAAGAUGGUAUAAUCAAUAUUGUAGAAGACCUAACAAGAAUACAUUAGGAUGUCCAGUGUUGAUCAAUAUUAUUCAAUCGAUGCUAUCAGUUGUUUUCUGACACAAAUGCUGCGAAACCGAGAUAUUACACAUUUUUCUAAAAAACUUUAUUAAUAAUUCAACUCAUUAAGAGAUAGCUGGACGGACAAUAGAACCAGAUCGAGCUAAGCUCGUGAAUUUCAGCAUUCCUCGCGAAGAAUUAUUUCAUGUUUGUUGGAUAACAAAGAGACACCAGUGAAUGUACAAAGUUCGUACAACAUCUCGUUAUUUUGAUUCGAAUAGUCAUGCACGGCGUAUUUCUCAAAACUAUUUAAGAGUUUUAUCAAAACUUUAUUACUUUUUGAAUAUGAAACAUAGAAUAUUCAGGUGUAACGCGGUAUGCGUAGGGGGAUGUUAGUGUUGGUGCUGUAAUUGGAGUAUUGAAAGAUGUUAUGAGAUACAAUUUGAAUGAAAUAGAGUGGUAUACCUAUCAGGUUGGAUA